RNAcentral lists this ribosomal RNA (253 nucleotides) under uncultured bacterium. RNAcentral's name for it is "partial 16S ribosomal RNA". It matches the Rfam family "Bacterial small subunit ribosomal RNA", at positions 524 to 776 of the family's 1533-position model. The record is from RNAcentral.
UACAGGGGGUGCAAACGUUGCUCGGAAUUAUUGGGCGUAAAGCGCGCGUAGGCGGCUACUUAAGUCGGAUGUGAAAGCCCUUGGCUCAACUGAGGAAGUGCACCCGAAACUGAGUGGCUAGAGUACGAAAGAGGGUCGCGGAAUUCCCGGUGUAGAGGUGAAAUUCGUAGAUAUUGGGAAGAACACCGGUGGCGAAGGCGGCUCACUGGCUCGUAUCUGACGCUCAGGCGCGAUAGCGUGGGGAUCAAACAGG